CGUGUUAUACGCCGGUGCGGUAUAUUAAAAUUGGAACAAUAUAGAGAAGAUUAGCAUGGCUUCUGCACAAGAAUGACAAGCAAAAUUUGUGAAGCGUUCCAUGGAUUC
Molecule: non-coding RNA, 108 nt
Organism: Pelobates cultripes (western spadefoot toad)
Lineage: Eukaryota; Metazoa; Chordata; Amphibia; Anura; Pelobatidae
Source: the annotation of a GenBank genome assembly